AUAUUUAAUUUUAAACAUUAAUACAAAUUUUAAAUCUGUUCUUAUCAUUUGAAUAUCUGAUAAUGUCCUUUAUUUGAGGACUGUAUAUUAAAUUGAUUUUUGAAAUAGGGGGAUGGAAUAGGAGCUUGCUCUGUCCACCCCAUGCAUCGACCUGGUAUUGCAGUGCCUCCAGGAACAGUGCAAAGAAA
Molecule: small nuclear RNA, 188 nt
Organism: Gopherus evgoodei (Goodes thornscrub tortoise)
Lineage: Eukaryota; Metazoa; Chordata; Testudines; Testudinidae
Gene: U2
Rfam family: U2 spliceosomal RNA
About the family: U2 is a small nuclear RNA (snRNA) component of the spliceosome (involved in pre-mRNA splicing). Complementary binding between U2 snRNA (in an area lying towards the 5' end but 3' to hairpin I) and the branchpoint sequence (BPS) of the intron results the bulging out of an unpaired adenosine, on the BPS, which initiates a nucleophilic attack at the intronic 5' splice site, thus starting the first of two transesterification reactions that mediate splicing.
Source: Ensembl